This 407-nucleotide ribosomal RNA is filed under the name uncultured bacterium. RNAcentral describes it as "partial 16S ribosomal RNA". It matches the Rfam family "Bacterial small subunit ribosomal RNA", at positions 30 to 526 of the family's 1533-position model. The record is from RNAcentral.
AUUGAACGCUGGCGGCAGGCCUAACACAUGCAAGUCGGGCGGAGCGGCGGACGGGUGAGUAAUGUAUGGGGAUCUGCCUGAUGGAGGGGGAUAACUACUGGAAACGGUAGCUAAUACCGCAUACCAUCAGAUGAACCCAUCUGGGAUUAGCUUGUUGGUGGGGUAAAGGGCUACCAGGGAGACGAUCCGUAACUGGUCUGAGAGGAUGAUCAGUCGCACUGGAACUGAGACACGGUCCAGACUCCUAGGGUAGGCAGGAGUGGGGAAUAUUGGACAAUGGGCGAAAGCCUGAUCCAGCCAUGCCGCGUGUGUGAAGAAGGUCUUCGGAUUUUAAAGUACUUUAAGUUGGGAGGCGGUACCAACAGAAUAAGCACCGGCUAACUUCGUGCCAGCAGCCGCGGUAAUUC